ACGAACGCUGGCGGCGUGCUUAACACAUGCAAGUCGAACGGUGAAGCGCCUUCCUUUUUGGUGGGUGUGGUUGAGUGGCGAACGGGUGAGUAACACGUGAGUAACCUGCCCCCUUCUUCUGGAUAACCGCAUGAAAGUGUGGCUAAUACGGGAUAUUCUGGGUCUGUCGCAUGAUGGGUCUGGGAAAGAUAUUGUUUCGGUGGGGGAUGGGCUCGCGGCCUAUCAGCUUGUUGGUGGGGUGAUGGCCUACCAAGGCGGUGACGGGUAGCCGGCCUGAGAGGGUGGACGGUCACACUGGGACUGAGACGCGGCCCAGACUCCUACGGGAGGCAGCAGUGGGGAAUAUUGCACAAUGGGCGCAAGCCUGAUGCAGCGACGCCGCGUGAGGGAUGGAGGCCUUCGGGUUGUGAACCUCUUUCGCCAGUGAAGCAGGCCUGCCUCGUUUGUGGGUGGGUUGACGGUAGCUGGAUAAGAAGCGCCGGCUAACUACGUG
Molecule: ribosomal RNA, 493 nt
Filed under: uncultured bacterium
Lineage: Bacteria
Description: partial 16S ribosomal RNA
Rfam family: Bacterial small subunit ribosomal RNA
Source: RNAcentral